UACGUAGGGGGCAAGCGUUAUCCGGAUUCACUGGGCGUAAAGGGAGCGCAGGCGGCAUGGCAAGUCUGAUGUGAAAACCCGGGGCCCAACCCCGGGAGUGAAUUGGAAACUGCCAGGCUGGAGUGUCGGAGGGGUAAGCGGAAUUCCUAGUGUAGCGGUGAAAUGCGUUGAUAUUAGGAGGAACACCAGUGGCGAAGGCGGCUUACUGGACGACUACUGACGCUGAGGCUCGAAAGCGUGGGGAGCAAACAGG
RNAcentral lists this ribosomal RNA (253 nucleotides) under uncultured bacterium. RNAcentral's name for it is "partial 16S ribosomal RNA". It matches the Rfam family "Bacterial small subunit ribosomal RNA", at positions 524 to 776 of the family's 1533-position model. The record is from RNAcentral.